AAAUGAAUUGACGGGACCCCGCACAAGCGGUGGAUUAUGUUGUUUAAUUCGACGCAACGCGAAGAACCUUACCAGGCCUUGACAUACUCGGCAAAGCUCUAGAGAUAGAGUGGAGGUUAUCCGGGAUACAGGUGGUGCAUGGUUGUCGUCAGCUCGUGUCGUGAGAUGUUGGGUUAAGUCCCGCAACGAGCGCAACCCUUGUCUUUAGUUACCAUCAUUAAGUUGGGGACUCUAGAGAGACUGCCGGUGAUAAACCGGAGGAAGGUGGGGAUGACGUCAAAUCAUCAUGCCCCUUAUGGCCUGGGCUACAAACGUAAUACAAUGGCGUAUACAAAGGGAUGCGAAAGGGCGACCUGGAGCAAAACUCACAAAGUACGUCUCAGUUCAGAUUGGAGUCUGCAACUCGACUCCAUGAAGGCGGAAUCGCUAGUAAUCGCGGAUCAGCAUGCCGCGGUGAAUACGUUCUCGGGGUUUGUACACACCGCCCGU
This 489-nucleotide ribosomal RNA is filed under the name uncultured bacterium. RNAcentral's name for it is "bacterial SSU rRNA". It matches the Rfam family "Bacterial small subunit ribosomal RNA", at positions 903 to 1397 of the family's 1533-position model. The record is from RNAcentral.